This is a long non-coding RNA of Equus caballus (horse), 1923 nucleotides long. The record is from Ensembl. Lineage: Eukaryota; Metazoa; Chordata; Mammalia; Perissodactyla; Equidae.
GAGCUGCCCAAGGUUCCACAGCGAGUAGGGCAAAGUUGGUAGAUGUGGUGGACACGGUGUUGACCUGAGAGCUCUCCCUAAUAAAACUCUGCAGGCUAACCUCCCUCUCCAAGAGUACUGCUGAGAACCUGACCUGUGAUGGUAGGAGGGUGAGACAUCUGUCGGCUGAUAGGCAGAUCUUCUGUCUCCUGGUUCCUGCCGUUUCCAUGUUGAGGUACAGAAUCAAUGUCCUUGGCCACACCCCAGGGGGAAGGAGACCCCUGACUCUGAGAGAGUAGUCACCAGCCUCUGCUACCGGGCCAGGAUUUCUGCAGCCACUUCACUAUCUUCCCCACCUCUAACAUCCUCCUCCUCGAAUAAGGCCCUUCACAGUAUCCUUGGUGGCAUUCUAAAUCACUAAUCCAGCCUCAGGUCUUUCCUGUGUAAAAUGACUCCUCUUUCCCUAGAGGAGACACUCAAGCCCAAGCUCAUUAACUCCGUUUGGGGCUCCUGCUCGUUCGCCCAGCUGCACCUCUUCCUUCUCUCUUUCCACAACAUUCUGAACUUUGUUAUUUCACACGACAUGUUCUUUCAUCUUGCCUUUUUGCAGGAGUCCUUCUCUCCGUUUGGAACACCUCCCGCUCCUCCUCUGAAACUUUAUCCCACAGCUUCAUUGGUGAAGCCUUUCUACCUCUCUAAGCCCAGUUUCCCCACUCACAAAAUAAGGACCACUUGAUCCACCAGAUAUCCAUCAGGCAUCAUUAUUCAAAGAUGGUCACACAGUAAAGCCCUUACUCCUUAAGUGAGGCCCAAAACGUUCAGUCGUGUAGAAUGUGUGUUGCAUUAUCAUGAGGCUCGUGAAGUGACCAGGGUGAGCCAGCUGCCAAGGAUGAGAGCCAAUCGCCGAUUGCUGUCUGUCUUAAUUUGCAUUAUUAUGGGAUACGCCAUCACAAGACCCAUUAUUGUGGCCAUGUUCAGAAUUAUUUGUUCAGUAUCUCUCUCCCCCACUAGAAUGUGGGAACAUGGCCCUCAAUAAAUAUGUGCUGAAUAAAUGAAAAAACAAAUUCAUAUGAGAGUACAACGUGAGGACCUGCCCUGGUUUGGAGGGUCAGGGGAUGUAUGCUCAAGGGAGUGAUGUUUAGUCUGAAGAGUGAAGGAUGACUAGAGGUCGGUAAGUGAAGUGCGGGAAGGAAAUCAAAUAUAAGAAAACAGGAAAGAAUGAUGUCUGCAAGGGCUUCAAACUGGAAGAGAGUGCGGUGUGUUCAAGUGUCCAAAAGGAACCCGGUGUCACAGGCCGUGGAAAUGGGAGUGGGCUGGAACACUGCCACCAUGAAGCUGAGCCGUCAGGGAGAGCUCGUUAGCUAUUUCUGGGACCUGGGACUUCAUUGUAAUAGUGAUGGGCAGACAUUUAGGGGUUUUCAGCACAGGUGCUUUGUGAACAGAUGUCUGUUAUAAAGAACACUCUAGCUGCUGUGUGGAGAGUGUAUUGGAGAGUGAUAGAGUGACAGUGGGGAAACUGAGGCACAGAGAAAUUAGGUGAUGUCCAAGGACCCAAAACUUACCUACAACAGAGCCCACCCUCCGUGACAUCAACCCCAGAGCUGUUUCCCCUAAUGAUGCCACCUCUGAGAACUCUAAAGUCCAGGUUCUAAGCUGCAAGGAGGGGAGAAAGCAAGCGGAAAGGGUGAUUUCUAAAAGCAGAGAGCAGCCCUUUUCUAGCUGUGAAGAUUCUUUCAAGCGGCAGUGCCAGGGCUUAAUGUACACUCCACGGGCGCUCUGGGAACACCCCCUGAAGUGAAAGGAGUCCCUUCUCCCCGGCAGCCCCUCUCUCUUACUCGCCAGACCAGGACUUGCAAACCUGAGAUCCUGGGAGAUGCAGCCCUAACCAUACUCCUUAAAUAUUGUCUCAAAUUACCAUGUUUGUUAUUAUAUAAAACAUUUAAU